AUUGAACGCUGGCGGAAUGCUUUACACAUGCAAGUCGAACGGCAGCACGGGGGGCAACCCUGGUGGCGAGUGGCGAACGGGUGAGUAAUACAUCGGAACGUGCCCAGUCGUGGGGGAUAACGUAGCGAAAGCUACGCUAAUACCGCAUACGAUCUCUGGAUGAAAGCGGGGGACCGCAAGGCCUCGCGCGAUUGGAGCGGCCGAUGGCAGAUUAGGUAGUUGGUGGGGUAAAGGCUCACCAAGCCGACGACCUGUAGCUGGUCUGAGAGGACGACCAGCCACACUGGGACUGAGACACGGCCCAGACUCCUACGGGAGGCAGCAGUGGGGAAUUUUGGACAAUGGGCGCAAGCCUGAUCCAGCCAUUCCGCGUGCAGGAUGAAGGACCCUCGGGUUGUAAACUGCUUUUGUACGGAACGAAAAGUGCCGGUUAAUACC
This 438-nucleotide ribosomal RNA is filed under the name uncultured bacterium. RNAcentral describes it as "bacterial SSU rRNA". It matches the Rfam family "Bacterial small subunit ribosomal RNA", at positions 29 to 466 of the family's 1533-position model. The record is from RNAcentral.